GGACUCGACAAUUUGGUUGGACUAUAAAUGUCCCUUAAAAACCAACAACCUAAGGAAGUAUAGCAGUGGAUAUGAAUUUAUUACUACUACUAUUUCCCUUUUCCUCUUUUCUUUCUGUUUGGGUGUUUUCUUUGCCUCCUCUUUUCUUGCUUUAUAUCUUUUAUUACUACAACUAUUCUUUUUUUCUUUCCUUUCUUUUUUUGUCGUUAUUUAUUUUCUACGCCUUUUCUUUUGGGGUAGUAACGUUUAGUAAGGUCAAGGAAUGUUCGGUGCUCACGCUACAUAUCAUAAGCUUAGUGAAGGACGGUAAAAUUCUAACGACGGAGAAAAAAAAAAAGUUGAAUGUGGUGUCUAGUUUUGGUUGCAUCCAAUCGGCAAACAUGACUGAAGUUGAUGUUUUAGCUAACUUAUAUAUUAGUUGGAUGUACGGAAAGUGUUGUAUAGCAGCCAGAAACUAUAUCAAGGGAAAAAAACUGUAAAUAUGAGUGAAGAUUGUGAGUUCUGUUCUUAUAAAUGUACUGAAAGAGGAGAGAGAGAAAGGAUUGCAGUUUAUGUUUUUAGCUAACUUAUAUAUUAGCCAGACGUACAGAAAGUGUUUUAAAGGGAUCAUAAACUAUAGCAUGGGAAACACUGUAAAUAUGAGUGGAGAUUGUGAGUUCUGUUCUUAUAAAUGUACUGAAAGAGGAGAGAGAGAAAGGAUUGCAAUUUAUGUUUUUAGCUAACUUAUAUAUUAGCCAGACGUACAGAAAGUGUUUUAAAGCGAUUAUAAACUAUAGUAUGGGAAACACGGUAAAUAUGAGUGGAGAUUGUGAGGUCUGCUCUUAUGAAUGUACUGAAAGAGGAAAGAGAAAAAAAGGAAAGGAUUGAAAUUCAUGUUUUUAGCUAACUUAUAUAUUAGUCGGACAUACGGAAAGUGUUUUACAGCGAUGAGUAACUAUAUCAAGGGAAAAAAAACUGUAAAUAUGAGUGAAGGGUGUGAGGUCUGUUCUUAUGAAUGUACUGAAUGAGGAGAAAAAGAAAUUAUUGAAAUCGCUGUUUUUAGGUGACAUAAAUUAUACAGUUAAAGGAAGUUUUAAAGCUUGUGGAAACUAUAUCAAAGGAAGAGUGACUUUAAAAUAUGACUAAAGGAAGAAAAGGAGAGUGAAGGAGGGAAAGGGUUUGAAGGGCAGACUAUACUAUAUUAAUGAAGAAAAGGAAGGAAAGCAAGGGUCUGAAUGGCUAACUUUACUAUAUUAACGAAGAAUGGAAAGGAAAGAAAGAGCAUGAAUAGUAGAAAGGGAAGGAAAGCAAGGGUCUGAAUGGCUAACUAUACUAUAUUAACGAAGAAUGGAAAGGAAAGAAUGAGUAUGAAUGGUAGAAAGGGAAGGAAAGAAAGGGUAUAAAUGGUUGACUCGAGCAUAUCAAAGACGUGAAUGGAAGACAGACGUAAAGUAGAUAGGCCGAUAAAAAGACACAAGAUGAAAACCGGUGAUGAUGAUGAUGACGGUGGUGAUGAUGCAGAAAACGAAGAUACUUAAAAUAAUUACUUUGUUGUUUGUUUAGGGUUUGUGUACUCAGUGUGUUAUUAAUUAAAAGUUUGUGUGUGUGAGCGUGUGGGCGAGAGGAACUGUUUACCUACAGAAUGAAAGAAAAAGGAAAACAAAAGAAUGGAUAUAAAAAAGAUGAAAUAAAGCAACAUAAAUACAUAAGCUUAAAAGUAAUCCUCAUUUUUGUAGGAUUAAUAAGCUUGUCUAUCUGUCUGUCUGUUUCUGCCAUUCCUUUAGUGAGAGCAGAUUUUAACACCUUUUUUCAUAUCGGGCAGACUUGGGUCAGACAUUCGAUAAUAAUAAUAGUAAUGGUUACAAUAAUAAUAAUCUCACUUGCAAGAACAAUAUUACUCAUGACAUUCUAUUCUAUUAGUUUGCUUAAUAUUAUGGUCUUUAUUUUCUAUUUAUACUCCUUACCAAUAUUUUUUUUCAUCUUUUCCCUUUUUAUGAUUUCGUAUUGUGAAUUUUCGGGCAUCAUUUACCCCAGACAAUAAUAUAAUCUUAAUUUCCUUUAAAUUUAAUCCUUACCAAUAUUUUCUUUAAUUCCUAUCCUUCUUAUAUUAUCUUCUAAUGUGAAAUUUCUUGCAUUAUUUUCAAAUUUCUUAACUCCAAGGGAAACUUAUAUUACCUUGAAAAUCUUAAGCACAAUUUUCAUACACUCCAAACAAUAUUUUAUUUAUCCAUUCACUUUAUAUAAACUUCUAUUAUGAAUUUUCUUGCAUUAUUUUACCGCAGAGGAAGAAAUAUUACUCUAACAACCAUCACUUUAUAUAUAACCUUUAUCUUUUCACUCUCUCCAUUAAAUUUGCCUCAUUUCUCCUUACAUUUUACCUCCUUUUCACUCCCCAUAUGUUUCACCUUUUUUCCCUUGUAAUAAAAACAUAUGAAACGGAAUUAUAAAAAGUCUUCCCAGAGCAACGCAGCAAUAUAUAAGUCCCUGUAUCUUGGGUGUGGAUGACGGUAACUCAGUCUGGACCACGUCUUCGGAACACUUCAUACAUUCGCCUAUAUCAGCGUUGCCAAAUUAUCAUACUAACCGCAAUGAAUUUUCGUAGUUUCUCCCCGAUAACUAUUACAAAAAGGAAAACCAUCGAUAUUUAACGGUUUCAACGAUAACUUUAACAGACUAUCGUUAUUUAUGAAGGCACGACAGUUUUGGGGGGCCUAAAAAUGAUUGAUGCAAUGCUCAGAUCAUGACAAUUUGGCAAUGCUCGCCUAUAUUCAUAAACGUAUCGAGCUCCCGUGACACUUAUUUCCAAGGCCGCAGGGAAGAUUAAUCGUUUUUUUCAUGGGUGGUUUUUGUGUUCAUGGUGCAGAGGUCAUGUAAAACUAUUGCUAGCAUCACGAAUUGGUCCAUGAAAAGCCCGGCAACUUCUAUAGGCUCUCAAUGCAGUCCAUGAAAUAGCCCAGGAACUUCUAUAGGGUCACAAAACACUCCCUGAAAAGCCCAACAACUUCUAUAGACUCACAAAACACUCCAUGAAAAUCCAAGUCAUUUCUAUAGACUCACAAAACACUCCAUGAAAAGCCCCAAAACUUCUAUAGACUCACGAAACAGUCCAUAAAAAGCCCGGCAACUUCUAUAGACUCGCGAAACACUCCAUGAAAAUCCAAGUAACUUCUAUAGACUCACGAAACAGUCCAUGAAAAAGCCUGGCAACUUCUAGACUCACGAAACAGUCCAUGAAAAACCCAGCAACUUCUACGAGAGGCCUUUCAAACAGGUGAACGUAGGUGCCAAUACGUUUAAGAAUGCGGAAUUUUGUAUCUCGAGGCGUGUCAUUGUAACUGCUGGUAUGUCUCGGGAAACGCAUUGUACUAUCCGUAACUUAAGACACAUAGUACUCUUGUAGCCAUAUGUGUGUGUGUGUGUUGAGGUCAGACAUUCAGCCAUCCAUUCAGCCAGUGUGUGUGUGUGUGUGUGUGUGUGUUCGGGGAAAGUAAUUUAAGAGUUGAAAGUGAAACAGAAAAGUCAUCAGAAGGUUUUAAUUAAUUUAGUGUUCUCGCCGCGCCUCUUAAUAAGUUGUAGACUCGGAAAUUCGUCAACCUUUUCCUUGUUUUUUUUUCUUCUUUAUUAUUAUUUUAUUUUUCUAUUGUUAUUUUUUACUACUGUUUGAUCUAUUAUUUCUAUUAUUCAUUCUAUUUUUAUCUUUCUUUCCUGUUGCUGUUAUUUUUUUUGUUAUCUUUUACUAUUUUUUCUAUUAUUUAUUUCUAUUAUUCAUUCCAUUCUUGUAUUUUUAUUAUUUUUGGGACCAUUAGUCCUUUAGAAAUUUUGUUAGUAUGUACUUGUGUUCUUAGUUCUGUUCAUUAGUGUUUUUUUAUCAAUGUAUAUAUUUUUUUAUCUCAGUUAUUUUUUGUUGUUUUCAGUUAUUCGCAAUUGUUUCAUUAUUCACAGUUCUUUUCUUUGUCAUUUUCUUCUUGUUAUUUGCAAUUGUUUUUAUCAGUUACUUUUUUUGUCAUUUUCCUAUUGUUAUUUGCACUUGUUUGAUCUUGUAUAUUCACUAGGUUUAUUUUGUCAUAUUUUCAUUGAUAUUUUCUUCCGGCCUUUCUUUGUUUUGUUAUGAAGUCAUUGAACAUUGUAAUUUGCACCUGUUGGUAUUGCUAAUAGUUUUCAUCUUCACUUAUUAUUAUUUCUUUGCACUUGUUAGUAUAUAUAUUGUGUUCCUCUUUUGCAAUCUUCUCUUAACCUGGUAGCAGCGACAGGCCAAGUUUGUGGCUUUACCGUGUACCAGCGACAGGCCAAAUUUUUGCCAUGAUAUAAACCCCCCCAAAAAUAGAUGAUGCAUAAACUGAUCACAAAUGCGUAUAUAUAUAUUAUGAAAUGGUUUGCGUGAGUGAUGAUUUUUUCUCAUUACUCUCACUUAGAGGGAAGGGCGUAUAAGAAACAUGAUCCCCGCAGCUACCGGGUUAAGCUAUGGUAAAUCUCACUCCCUUCUCAUUGGAUUUUUGUCCUUGUAAUUUGCAUCUGUUCGUGUUGAUAUGAGGUUUUUUUUUUUCAUAUUUCUUAACUUAUCAUAUCUUUGCAAUUGUUAGUAUAUUUUUGUUGCUGUGUUGUGUAUCAUUGUCAUGGAUUGCUCAAACGGACAUUUUUGUUAUUUAUUUUCAAGGCUUCGUAAUUAUCUGGUAAAUCACUCAAGCCUCUCAUUGUAUUAUUUUCUUAUGCUUGUUAUUCUCAGUACUGUGAAUCAUGUGCAUUAAUACUGUUUUAUGUUAUUAUACUUUGCAAAUUAACUUGUAUUAUUGGUAAAUCACUCAAGCUUCUCGUAUUUAUCUCUCACACUUGUUAUUCUCGGUACUAUCAAUCAUGCACAUUAUUACAGUUAUCAUUAUACUCUACAAAUUAACUUUUUUGGGGGUAAUUCUCUGGUAAAUCACUCAAGCUCCUCAUUAUAUUUAUCUCUCACACUUGUUAUUCUCAGUACGAUCAAUCAUGUGCAUUAUUACAGUUAUCAUUAUACUCUACAAAUUAACUUUUUUGGGGGGUAAUUCUCUGGUAAAUCACUCGAGCUUCUCAUUGUAUUUAUCUCUCACUUGUUAUUCUCGGUACUAUCAAUCAUGCACAUUAUUACAGUUAUCAUUAUACUCUACAAAUUAACUUUUUUGGGGGGUAAUUCUCUAAGUCACUCAAGCUUCUCAUUGUAUUUUCUCAUUAUUGUUAUUCUCAGUACUAUGGGUCAUUAUAAUUGCAUUGUGUUAUCAUUCUCUGCAAAUUAAUAGACAUUGACAAAACUGGAAAUUCUUGGGAGAUUCACUCAGCUUCUCAUCGUACGUAUUUUACUCACUCGUUAUUCUCAGUGCUAACAGUUGACUCAUUGUUAUUGUUCAGAUAAACGUGACAAUAAACACUUCCCCCUUCCUCAGUAAGAGUUUAGGCUAAAUCUCAAUGGUGGAUGCUGGGAAGGGGUUUUAAUAUUAUUGGUGAAUCUGUCAAUCUGAAAUGCAUAAUAUUCUCUCUCAAGCCAGACUCCUUGCCAGUUUUGUUCAGUAAGAGAAGAAAGGCGAAGUUAUGAAAAGAGGAGAAAAAAAUAAUAUUCUGCUGUACUUUAAAGGAAUCAGGAGAACUUCCAUUGCUUAUUAUCUUUAUUUUAAGUCAUUAUUAAUUACUUUUCACUGUUUUCUCAUUUCUACUCUCCAUAUAGGGGCAGUGAUUAGCAGACUUUUUCUUUGUUUAUUUAUUUUUGCCCUUGAGCUGCCUCCUUUACUGAAAAAAAAAUAAUAAUAAUAAUUCCACCUCAACCCCAAUGGAAACAGAAGCAUCGGUCCGGUUCCUCCCAACUCUCCUGUUUCCUCCGUUUUCUCUCUUCUUCUUCUUUUUUUUUUUUUCUUUCUUUUUUUUCCUCCUGUUUUUAUUCCACGUCUUCUGACACAGGUAUUCUCUCUCUCUCUCUCUCUCUCUCUCUCUCUCUCUCUCUCUCUCUCUCUCUCUCUCUUUCUUUUGCAGCUUCUCUUUCUUUUUCUUUUUCUUUCUCGUAUUUCCCUUUUACUGUGCGAAAGAAUCCGUCUUUUUUUUUUUUUUUUUUUCUGCACCUUCAUGUGAGCUUGCUUUUUUUUUUUUUUUUAUAUAAUCUUUUUUAUACAUCCCAUCUUCCUCUUCCUCUCUUCCAUAGUUAAGCAAAUCAUUUUAAUAUUUUGCAUCCUCUUUUUCAUGUUUUAUUUCUCAUUUCUUUUAUCUUUUGCAUUCAAUCAGCACUUUCCUUUUUCUUUUUCUCCUCCCAUUCCCCUCUUCUUUCCUUUCUUCCAUAGUUCAGCAUUAUCUUUUUUUUUUUUUUUUUCAUCUUUCCUCUUGUUUAUCUCUUUUUUUUUUUUUUACUUGCAUUCAACUGACACUUUUUCUUUUCUCUUCCCCUUCUCCUCUUCUUUCCUCUCUUAAAUAGUUUAGCAUUAUCUUCUGUUGCUUCUCCUCUUUCCUCUUAUUUUCCCUUUUUUUUUAACUUGCAUGCAAUUCACAGUUUUUUUUCUCUUCUCUUCCCCUUCUUCUCUUCUUUCCUCUCUUCUAUAGUUUAGCAAGUUAUUCUAAUCUAUUCCUUCUCCUCUUUUUCUCUAUUUCUUUCUUUACCUUUCACACACACCUACCACUUCUCUUUUCCUUUUUUCCUUUCUUUUCUCUUCCUCUUUUGGUUCAUCUCUAUUUCUCUCUGUCUCUCAUUCUUUAUUAUUCACAAGCAAUUUACACUUUUAUUUAUCUCUUUUUCUCCCCUUUAUUUUCUCUCCUCUCUUCCAUUCCAUAGUUAGGCAUUUUAUUGUAAUCUCUUUUGCUUCUCCUUUCUCUUCCUUUUAUGUAUCUCUCUCUCUCUCUUUCUCCCUUUCAUAUGCAUCUGCCGAUUUAUUUUUCUAUCGGUGUUUUGUUUUUCAUCCUUGGCAAACGGAAUUUUAACGAGUCAAUACCAUGUCCGAUUUUUGCUCUUGGAGUUUUUUAAUGAUUCACUUUAUCCUCUUUUUUUUCUGCAUUAUAUUCAAUAGCAAACAUGUCAUUCUUGUCGUUUGUUGCAUCAUUCUCGAACAUUAUUCUUAUUAUUGUUGUUAUUUUUCCUUCAUGUCCUUCCCCCUACCUAAAAAUAUUCUUUACGAAGGUCAGUGUGUGUGUGUGUGUGUGUGUGU
Long non-coding RNA from Eriocheir sinensis (Chinese mitten crab), 7124 nucleotides. RefSeq lists it as uncharacterized. The record is from RefSeq and is a predicted model, not a curated record. NCBI's taxonomy places the organism in Eukaryota, Metazoa, Arthropoda, Malacostraca, Decapoda, Varunidae. The transcript has 2 exons.